This is a long non-coding RNA of Mus caroli (Ryukyu mouse), 921 nucleotides long. RefSeq lists it as uncharacterized. NCBI's taxonomy places the organism in Eukaryota, Metazoa, Chordata, Mammalia, Rodentia, Muridae. The record is from RefSeq and is a predicted model, not a curated record.
UAGAGUUGUAUGGGCAGAAUGUAGAGGGGAACAGCAGAAUCGCCAUGACUCCGGCUAGAAGGAUGGGUUGCAGGAGCGGCAGGAGAUAAAGCCAACCAGCCAUGUGAGAUUUUGGGGAUCAUGGGGGAUCAGGCAAAGGCCGGUAAGGUCUAAGGAUGUAACGAUCGGAAUUUGUGAGGCUGGAAAGCUGUGCUCACUCAGGUGGGAUGACGUGAGGACAAGGGCAAACGAACUCAGAUGUUUGAGUAUGAUACAGCGGCUUAAGAAACAAAUUCAGGGCUCGGCUCUUUCUCAUCUCCUGGGCCUGCCGUUUUAAUCUGCAGAAGGCUGAGGACUUAAAAUCUGGUUCCUGUGCAGUUUGUGUCUAGGACCCAGCCCAUCUCAGUUCUGGUGAUCCAGCUCGAGUUCAAGGCAAAGAAGCACUUUAUUCACUGGUCUGUGUAUGUGUGUGCGGUGUGUGCAUAUGUUUGUGUGCAGGCAGGGACUCUCAGUAACAUGGAACACAUCAAGAAGAGGAUGGCUGACCCAGGAGCCAGGGACCGGACUGUUUCUGUGCCGAUGCCCAGCUUCUGUGUGUUCUGGGUAUUGAAUGUGGGUCCUCAUGUUUGAGCUGCAAGCAUUUUACUGAGUAAGGUCUCUCUGCAGCCAUGCAUCUGUUUAAUCUCUGUGUAUAUAUGUUUAUCUCUGUAGCCAGGUCUGAGGGCCUGUGGGCAAAAGCAGAAAUCUGGAGUGGCACUGUUAUUACUUCAGAGUAAAAACUAAAAACCACAAUUGCUGGAGAGCAGACGGGAUCUUAGUUAUGAUCUCUUAUUAUUUCAUAAAUGUUAAUGUAGCGGCUGUUUUGAAUGGGGAUCUCCCAAGUUGCAAAGUAGACUUGUACCCCCAAAUGAAUCGAGGAAAUAAAAGAGAAAAUCAAGUGCA